GACGAACGCUGGCGGCGUGCUUAACACAUGCAAGUCGAACGGAAAGGCCCUGCUUUUGUGGGGUGCUCGAGUGGCGAACGGGUGAGUAACACGUGAGUAACCUGCCCUUGACUUUGGGAUAACUUCAGGAAACUGGGGCUAAUACCGGAUAGGAGCUCCUGCUGCAUGGUGGGGGUUGGAAAGUUUCGGCGGUUGGGGAUGGACUCGCGGCUUAUCAGCUUGUUGGUGGGGUAGUGGCUUACCAAGGCUUUGACGGGUAGCCGGCCUGAGGGGGUGACCGGCCACAUUGGGACUGAGAUACGGCCCAGACUCCUACGGGAGGCGGCAGUGGGGAAUAUUGCACAAUGGGCGGAAGCCUGAUGCAGCAACGCCGCGUGCGGGAUGACGGCCCUCGGGUUGUAAACCGCUUUCGCCUGUGACGAAGCGUGAGUGACGGUAAUGGGUAAAGAAGCACCGGCUAACUACGUG
Molecule: ribosomal RNA, 468 nt
Filed under: uncultured bacterium
Lineage: Bacteria
Description: partial 16S ribosomal RNA
Rfam family: Bacterial small subunit ribosomal RNA
Source: RNAcentral